UACGUAGGGUGCGAGCGUUAAUCGGAAUUACUGGGCGUAAAGCGUGCGCAGGCGGUUUUGUAAGCCAGAUGUGAAAUCCCCGGGCUUAACCUGGGAAUGGCAUUUGGGACUGCAAGGCUCGAGUGCGGCAGAGGAGACUGGAAUUCCUGGUGUAGCAGUGAAAUGCGUAGAUAUCAGGAGGAACACCGGUGGCGAAGGCGGCAUCCUGGACCGACACUGACGCUGAGGAGCGAAAGCCAGGGGAGCAAACGGG
This 253-nucleotide ribosomal RNA is filed under the name uncultured bacterium. RNAcentral describes it as "partial 16S ribosomal RNA". It matches the Rfam family "Bacterial small subunit ribosomal RNA", at positions 524 to 776 of the family's 1533-position model. The record is from RNAcentral.